Molecule: transfer RNA, 69 nt
Filed under: Centropus cupreicaudus
Lineage: Eukaryota; Metazoa; Chordata; Aves; Cuculiformes; Centropidae
Description: tRNA-Met
Rfam family: tRNA
About the family: Transfer RNA (tRNA) molecules are approximately 80 nucleotides in length. Their secondary structure includes four short double-helical elements and three loops (D, anti-codon, and T loops). Further hydrogen bonds mediate the characteristic L-shaped molecular structure. tRNAs have two regions of fundamental functional importance: the anti-codon, which is responsible for specific mRNA codon recognition, and the 3' end, to which the tRNAs corresponding amino acid is attached (by aminoacyl-tRNA synthetases). tRNAs cope with the degeneracy of the genetic code in two manners: having more than one tRNA (with a specific anti-codon) for a particular amino acid; and 'wobble' base-pairing, i.e. permitting non-standard base-pairing at the 3rd anti-codon position.
Source: RNAcentral
AGUAGAGUAAGCUAAUAAAGCUAUCGGGCCCAUACCCCGAAAAUGAUGGUUUGACCCCCUCCCCUACUA